Molecule: long non-coding RNA, 1460 nt
Filed under: Fukomys damarensis (Damara mole-rat)
Lineage: Eukaryota; Metazoa; Chordata; Mammalia; Rodentia; Bathyergidae
Description: lncRNA (ENSFDAG00000032790.1)
Source: RNAcentral
UGUGUGUUUACAUAAAUAUCUACUGCACGCGCACAGCUAUACUUUCACUAAUAAUGGCAAAGAAACAGUACUACAUAGUUCACUAAAUAUCUAGAGAGUAAUAAAGUUUAAAGAUUAUAUUAGUAAAGAUAGAGUGGGGCGGAACAGGAUAAUGAAAGUAGUAAAAUAUAAAAACUAAAGAAAGAUGAGAAUGAGGAGAAAGGUCAGAUAAAGGUUCCUGUUAAGGACAGUAAUACAAUUAGAUAAAAGUAACAAACAACAAAAGGAAAAACAAAGAGGGGAAAACAAAAGAAAAAUCAAAAGACCCCAGAGUCCAAGGGGGGAAAAAGCAACCCAAAACAAUUCCCCUGUGGUUUUAAAUGAGUGGCUUCCUUCCAAGGUCAGCAGUCUUAUGGUCUAGCAGACAUCGGGGAAGGAUGGGUCACUGCUAAGACCUAUUUUGUUUCCACACUCGUGUUCUUCUGUGAGUGCUGGACCUCGCCCUGUCUUUCCUGCCGGGAGUGCUCUGUCACUGAUGUCCACCACACAACUGUAGUCACUCAGGCAACCCCCACUUUCAGCGUACCUCUCUGCACCACAGGCCAUGGAUUUUCCUGCCUAGCCUUAAGGCCUGUAGGUCUGUGAGGCCCACUCCCUCAUCCAGAGACCCUGUGUCUAUAUACCUCAGACUGCGGCUACUGCUCUGUCCGAGCGGUGUUCUUGCUUGCGUUGGUUCAUGGAAAAGCAGAGACCACUGAAUUCUGUGCUGAGGUCAGUAGUGGGGAGGAGGAGGCCAGUCUGCUGGACUUGAUGCCAGCACUUUCAGAUCUAGCUCCCUUGGAAGCCAGCGCACCCCACCUAGCUCCUUACCACAAAGGGCAGGGGCCGCUGUGUCAUUCUUGGCGGAGCUUAAACUUCUCUAUCAAGCCGACAACCUCUCCACAACUCUCCCUCGACACUAUCUCCACCCAGUCACUGUGGCAGGACAAUGCCACAAACCCUGGAGUAUAACUGUUCCGCGGUUGCUCUGCAACUCAGUCCCAAACAAUUAACCUCUUCCCAAAGUAGCUCCCGGUUAAACACUGCCAAACAUGGCAGGCCCUCCACAGACUUCCUCGCUAAAUCCAGGCUGCCUGUGGUGUGGUCUUCCAGAAGUAUGGCCUCCGGGACCCUGAAAGGCUGCACUACUCUCAGUCUACUGGACUUAACUGUGAGGAAGGUGCUUCCCCAGGCAGAGCCUGGAGCCCGGACAAAGGAAAGCUGCUUGAAGCCCGCUGCUCUCUGUCCUCUGGGUCUCGGAUAGUGGCAGUGGACAAGGAGGAGAAGGAACAGGAUGUCAGUGGAAGAAAGAAGCUCCCAGGAGACUAAAGAACAGCGGGACACCCUUAAAAAAAAAACAGAAACUUCUCAAAAUGGUAAUUUGAAUAAAGGUAUUCAAGGCUCUCUACAAAAUAAUCAGUGCAUUUUGUAUCAGUUGUCUG